RNAcentral lists this long non-coding RNA (1208 nucleotides) under Elaeis guineensis (African oil palm). RNAcentral's name for it is "long non-coding RNA (EGUI_LNC039545)". The record is from RNAcentral. Lineage: Eukaryota; Viridiplantae; Streptophyta; Magnoliopsida; Arecales; Arecaceae.
CCCUGCUCUCGUUCCUUUUUAGUUCUCGCUCUCAAGAUCAUGGAGCCUGCUCUCCACCAAGUCAAAGAAGCUGCCAAAAGAAAGGCGAAGUUCCUUCGAAAGGACUCCAACAAAAAGGCUAGGACGGCACUCAAUGAGCCUCCUCCUAGGACUCCUGGUGCAGGCUCCUCCACUGGGGUGACACUCCACCCUAGCACUGCUGAGGAGGCCUUUGCUGAGGCCCAUCUCCACUACAUCAUCGAAUUCAAGGCCUCAGAGGCCUUCAAGGAGAACUUCUGGAUGCCUCCACGAUUGGAUUUGUGUAGGGUUUGAAAACUGUAAGGCCCGCAUCAAGUAUCUGAUGCCGCAGCUGGACCUGCAUCGCCUCCACCCUGAGAACAGUGACGACGAGGUUGGGACGUUCUCUUCGAAUGAAGAUUGAGUUUUCCUUGUCUUGGAUCUUGGUCUUUGUUAUGGCCAAGGAGUUGUGGUUUCGAAGGAGUCCCUGUUUUCCUCUUUUCUCUUUUUUUAUGUUUCUAACUUUCUAUUAUCGUCUUUGUUUUCCCGUCUUCCAUUUGUACGUAUUUUGAAGUAAUGAAAAAAAGAGCGUUUGCAUUUAUGCAUACCUUCUCUGUGCUUUUUGUUUCUCCCUGAUACUCUCUUCUUUUUUAUUAUUAAUUGCCUUCAUAACAUAUUUAGUCGGUUAAUCCCCAAAGAGAAUUCACUUCACCGGGGUGAUAUCAAAAGAUAAAGAAAAUAACAAUGUCUUUAAAAAAGAUUAUAACAUUCAAUGGAUGAAUAAUAACAUCACCGAUAAUACAUCCGCAAGUUAUUCAAGUUCCAGAGCCAAGAUAGAAGUAUCCCAUCAAUUGCUUGAGACGAUAGGUUCCUGGCCGGAUAACUUCGUAGGAGAGGUUGAAAGAAGUCUCCCCCGUAAGAGUUCUUUGGAUGGUUUGGUAGGCCCAUAGGAUAUUGUAUAGCUCAUCAACCCAAGCUCCCUUGGCUUGGCCAAUCCUUGCUUUCAAUCCCUGCAAAAUGGUUCGGUUGGUAACUUCGGCCUCUCCGUUGGCCUGAGGAUGGCCCACCGCAGUGAAGUGCUAGGAAAUGCCACGAUCUUAGCAGAAUUCAGCGAACCUCGUGCCUGUGAAUUGGUAACCGUUGUCUAUAACAAUCACCCAGAGAAUACCGAACCUGCAAAUAAUAGCCUUCCAGACAAAGUCGAUCACUUU